Molecule: transfer RNA, 83 nt
Filed under: Dendronephthya gigantea
Lineage: Eukaryota; Metazoa; Cnidaria; Anthozoa; Malacalcyonacea; Nephtheidae
Description: tRNA-Ser
Rfam family: tRNA
About the family: Transfer RNA (tRNA) molecules are approximately 80 nucleotides in length. Their secondary structure includes four short double-helical elements and three loops (D, anti-codon, and T loops).
Source: RNAcentral
GUAGUCGUGGCCGAGUGGUUAAGGCGACAGACUAGAAAUCUGUUGGGAUAUUCCCGCGCAGGUUCAAAUCCUCGCCGACUACG